CCUAAGGCGAGGCCGAAAGGCGUAGUCGAUGGACAACAGGUAGAAAUUCCUGUACUACAAGAUUGUGAUUGAGAGAAGUACUGACGCAGAAGGAAAAGUCGAGCGUGCUGAUGGUUGUGCACGUCCAAAUAACAAGCCAGAAUAUACAGGCAAAUCCGUAUAUUCGUCAACGUAAGUUAUGAUGGGGAGCAGAAAGAUGCGAAGCGACAGAUUCAAACUGCCAAGAAAAGGUGCUAUCGAAUAAUCUUGUACCCGUACCGCAAACCGACACAGGUAGGCAAGAAGAGAAUUCUAAGACGCGCGGAAGAACCUUUGUUAAGGAACUCGGCAAAAUAAUCCCGUAAGUUAGCGAGAAGGGAUGCCUAAGAAAUUAGGUCGCAGAGAAUAGGCCCAAGCGACUGUUUACCAAAAACACAAGUAUCUGCUAAAUCGAAAGAUGAAGUAUAGGUGCUGACACCUGCCCGGUGCUGGAAGGUCAAGGGG
RNAcentral lists this ribosomal RNA (483 nucleotides) under Aurantiochytrium limacinum. RNAcentral describes it as "partial Bacterial large subunit ribosomal RNA". It matches the Rfam family "Bacterial large subunit ribosomal RNA", at positions 1390 to 1884 of the family's 2925-position model. The record is from RNAcentral. Lineage: Eukaryota; Bigyra; Thraustochytrida; Thraustochytriidae.